RNAcentral lists this ribosomal RNA (484 nucleotides) under uncultured bacterium. Its description in RNAcentral is "partial 16S ribosomal RNA". It matches the Rfam family "Bacterial small subunit ribosomal RNA", at positions 30 to 507 of the family's 1533-position model. The record is from RNAcentral.
AUUGAACGCUGGCGGCAGGCCUAACACAUGCAAGUCGAGCGGAUGAAGGGAGCUUGCUCCUGGAUUCAGCGGCGGACGGGUGAGUAAUGCCUAGGAAUCUGCCUGGUAGUGGGGGAUAACGUCCGGAAACGGGCGCUAAUACCGCAUACGUCCUGAGGGAGAAAGUGGGGGAUCUUCGGACCUCACGCUAUCAGAUGAGCCUAGGUCGGAUUAGCUAGUUGGUGGGGUAAAGGCCUACCAAGGCGACGAUCCGUAACUGGUCUGAGAGGAUGAUCAGUCACACUGGAACUGAGACACGGUCCAGACUCCUACGGGAGGCAGCAGUGGGGAAUAUUAGGCAAUGGGCGAAAGCCUGAUCCAGCCAUGCCGCGUGUGUGAAGAAGGUCUUCGGAUUGUAAAGCACUUUAAGUUGGGAGGAAGGGCAGUAAGUUAAUACCUUGCUGUUUUGACGUUACCAACAGAAUAAGCACCGGCUAACUUCGUG